This 460-nucleotide ribosomal RNA is filed under the name uncultured bacterium. Its description in RNAcentral is "partial 16S ribosomal RNA". It matches the Rfam family "Bacterial small subunit ribosomal RNA", at positions 338 to 795 of the family's 1533-position model. The record is from RNAcentral.
CCUACGGGUGGCUGCAGUGAGGAAUAUUGGUCAAUGGUCGCGAGCCUGAACCAGCCAAGUAGCGUGAAGGAUGACUGCCCUUCGGGUUGUAAACCUCUUUUAUCAAGGAAUAAAGUGAGGCACGUGUGCCUUUUUGUAUGUACUUUAUGAAUAAGCAUCGGCUAACUCCGUGCCAGCAGCCGCGGUAAUACGGAGGAUCCGAGCGUUAUCCGGAUUUAUUGGGUUGAAAGGGUGCGGAGAUGGUUUGUUAAGUCAGUUGUGAAAUGUUGCGGCUCAACCGUAAAAUUGCAGUUGAUACUGGCAGCCUUGAGUACAGUUGAGGUAGGCGGAAUUCGUGGUGUAGCGGUGAAAUGCUUAGAUAUCACGAAGAACUCCGAUUGCGAAGGCAGCUUACUAAACUGCAACUGACAUUGAUGCUCGAAAGUGUGGGUAUCGAACAGGAUUAGAUACCCGGGUAGUC